UAGCACUAAGUGUGCUGAUGUAUAAAAUACGAAUAACUCAUGGAAAGUCUUAUAACAUUCAACAUGAGGUAAGUACAAAAGUGAAUAAGUACGGGAAGUUUCAGGUAUGUACAUUGCCUAAGUGGUAGAUGAUGUUAUGUAUAUGAAUCUCAUUGAGUUGAUGUAGUUAUAUGGAUUGAAAUUGUGCGAAUACUCACAGGUUAUCAUUUUAGGUUCAUAUAUUAUGAAUGUUUUGAGUAUGAGCUUACUAAGCCUUUGAAAGC
RNAcentral lists this long non-coding RNA (263 nucleotides) under Gossypium barbadense (sea-island cotton). RNAcentral describes it as "long non-coding RNA (GBAR_LNC003845)". The record is from RNAcentral. Lineage: Eukaryota; Viridiplantae; Streptophyta; Magnoliopsida; Malvales; Malvaceae.